RNAcentral lists this ribosomal RNA (497 nucleotides) under uncultured bacterium. RNAcentral describes it as "partial 16S ribosomal RNA". It matches the Rfam family "Bacterial small subunit ribosomal RNA", at positions 28 to 507 of the family's 1533-position model. The record is from RNAcentral.
GAUGAACGCUGGCGGCGUGCCUAAUACAUGCAAGUCGAGCGAACGGACGAGAAGCUUGCUUCUCUGAUGUUAGCGGCGGGCGGGUGAGUAACACGUGGAUAACCUACCUAUAAGACUGGGAUAACUUCGGGAAACCGUAGCUAAUACCGGAUAAUAUUUUGAACCGCAUGGUUCAAAAGUGAAAGACGGUCUUGCUGUCACUUAUAGAUGGAUCCGCGCUGCAUUAGCUAGUUGGUAAGGUAACGGCUUACCAAGGCAACGAUGCAUAGCCGACCUGAGAGGGUGAUCGGCCACACUGGAACUGAGACACGGUCCAGACUCCUACGGGAGGCAGCAGUAGGGAAUCUUCCGCAAUGGGCGAAAGCCUGACGGAGCAACGCCGCGUGAGUGAUGAAGGUCUUCGGAUCGUAAAACUCUGUUGUUAGGGAAGAACAUAUGUGUAAGUAACUGUGCACAUCUUGACGGUACCUAAUCAGAAAGCCACGGCUAACUACGUG